Molecule: ribosomal RNA, 591 nt
Filed under: uncultured Burkholderia sp.
Lineage: Bacteria; Pseudomonadati; Pseudomonadota; Betaproteobacteria; Burkholderiales; Burkholderiaceae
Description: bacterial SSU rRNA
Rfam family: Bacterial small subunit ribosomal RNA
Source: RNAcentral
UCGGGUUGUAAAGCACUUUUGUCCGGAAAGAAAACCUUCGAGUUAAUACCUUGGGGGGAUGACGGUACCGGAAGAAUAAGCACCGGCUAACUACGUGCCAGCAGCGCGGUAAUCGUAGGGUGCGAGCGUUAAUCGGAAUUACUGGGCGUAAAGCGUGCGCAGGCGGUUCGUUAAGACAGAUGUGAAAUCCCCGGGCUUAACCUGGGAACUGCAUUUGUGACUGGCGAGCUAGAGUAUGGCAGAGGGGGGUAGAAUUCCACGUGUAGCAGUGAAAUGCGUAGAGAUGUGGAGGAAUACCGAUGGCGAAGGCAGCCCCCUGGGCCAAUACUGACGCUCAUGCACGAAAGCGUGGGGAGCAAACAGGAUUAGAUACCCUGGUAGUCCACGCCCUAAACGAUGUCAACUAGUUGUUGGGGAUUCAUUUCCUUAGUAACGUAGCUAACGCGUGAAGUUGACCGCCUGGGGAGUACGGUCGCAAGAUUAAAACUCAAAGGAAUUGACGGGGACCCGCACAAGCGGUGGAUGAAUGUGGAUUAACUCGAUGCAACGCGAAAAACCUUACCUACCCUUGACAUGGUCGGAACCUGGCUG